GAGUACACGUAAGUAACCUGCCUUUAAGACGAGGAUAACAAUUGGAAACAGUUGCUAAGACUGGAUAGGAAAUUAGAAGGCAUCUUUUAAUUUUUAAAAGACCUUUUUCGAAAGGUAUACUUAAAGAGGGGCUUGCGGCACAUUAGUUAGUUGGUAGGGUAAAAGCCUACCAAGACCAUGAUGUGUAGCUGGACUGACGAGGUUGAMYAGCCACAUUGGGACUGAGACACUGCCCAAACUCCUACGGGAGGCAGCAGUAGGGAAUUUUCGGCAAUGGAGGAAACUCUGACCGAGCAACGCCGCGUGAACGAUGAAGUAUUUCGGUWUGUAAAGUUCUUUUAUUGGAGAAGAAAAAAUAGUGGAAAAACUAUCUUGACGAUAUUCAAUGAAUAAGCCCCGGCAAACUAUGUGCCAGCAGCCGCGGUAAUACAUAGGGGGCGAGCGUUAUCCGGAAUUAUUGGGCGUAAAGGGUGCGUAGGCGGUUUGGUAAGUCUAUAGUUUAAUUUCAGUGCUUAACACUGUUCUGCUAUAGAAACUAUCAGACUAGAGUGAGAUAGAGGCAAGUGGAAUUCCAUGUGUAGCGGUAAAAUGCGUAAAUAUAUGGAGGAACACCAGAGGCGUAGGCGGCUUGCUGGGUCUUUACUGACGCUGAGGCACGAAAGCGUGGGGAGCAAACAGGAUUAGAUACCCUGGUAGUCCACGCCGUAAACGAUGAGUACUAAGUGUCGGGGAAACUCGGUACUGAAGUUAACACAUUAAGUACUCCGCCUGAGUAGUACGUACGCAAGUAUGAAACUUAAAGGAAUUGACGGGACUCCGCACAAGCGGUGGAUCAUGUUGUUUAAUUCGAAGAUACACGAAAAACCUUACCAGGUCUUGACAUACUCUGCAAAGCUAUAGCAAUAUAGUGGAGGUUAUCAGGGAUACAGGUGGUGCAUGGUUGUCGUCAGCUCGUGUCGUGAGAUGUUAGGUUAAGUCCUAAAACGAGCGCAACCCUUGUCACUAGUUGCCAGCAUGUUAUGAUGGGCACUUUAGUGAGACUGCCAAUGAAAAAUUGGAGGAAGGUGAGGAUCACGUCAAAUCAUCAUGCCCCUUAUGAUCUGGGCUACAAACGUGAUACAAUGGCUGUUACAAAGAGUAGCUAAAACGCGAGUUUAUAGCCAAUCUCAUAAAAGCAGUCUCAGUUCGGAUUGAAGUCUGCAACUCGACUUCAUGAAGUUGGAAUCGCUAGUAAUCGCGAAUCAGCAUGUCGCGGUGAAUACGUUCUCGGGGUUUGUACACACCGCCCGUCAAACCACGAAAGUUGGUAAUACUCGAAAACGGUAGCCUAACUCUCG
RNAcentral lists this ribosomal RNA (1337 nucleotides) under Candidatus Phytoplasma cynodontis. RNAcentral's name for it is "bacterial SSU rRNA". It matches the Rfam family "Bacterial small subunit ribosomal RNA", at positions 108 to 1444 of the family's 1533-position model. The record is from RNAcentral. Lineage: Bacteria; Bacillati; Mycoplasmatota; Mollicutes; Acholeplasmatales; Acholeplasmataceae.